RNAcentral lists this ribosomal RNA (233 nucleotides) under uncultured bacterium. Its description in RNAcentral is "partial 16S ribosomal RNA". It matches the Rfam family "Bacterial small subunit ribosomal RNA", at positions 257 to 504 of the family's 1533-position model. The record is from RNAcentral.
GUAACGGCCCACCAAGGCGACGAUCAGUAGCCGACCUGAGAGGGUGAUCGGCCACAUUGGAACUGAGACACGGUCCAAACUCCUACGGGAGGCAGCAGUGGGGAAUAUUGGGCAAUGGAGGAAACUCUGACCCAGCAACGCCGCGUGAAUGAUGAAGGUCUUCGGAUUGUAAAGUUCUUUUCUAAGGGACGAAGAAAGUGACGGUACCUUAGGAAUAAGCCUCGGCUAACUAC